This 1039-nucleotide long non-coding RNA is filed under the name Monodelphis domestica (gray short-tailed opossum). RNAcentral's name for it is "lncRNA (ENSMODG00000034345.2)". Lineage: Eukaryota; Metazoa; Chordata; Mammalia; Didelphimorphia; Didelphidae. The record is from RNAcentral.
CCAGCAGGCUCUCCCAGCCCCGAUUGUUUUUACAGAUGAAGAAACUGAGGCUCCCAGACAGUUCAGAGACUUUCCCAGGGUCAGGAAGUAGCAACUGACAGACAGCCAUAGCCUAUGACAAUAAUUCAUCAUUUAAUAAGGGACUCUUGGAGGGAGGGAUCGUGCUGGCACCAGACCUGGGCAAAGGGACAGCCAGCGACCGAAAUAAGGCUCUUCCCUCCUGGAGCAUUUACCUUCUUCAACUGGGAGGAGGCAGCAAGGCCUAGACAUGUCAAUACAGGCUAUGCCAAGUAAAGGAAAAGUAUUUGAGACAGAGAUAAUGAGAGACAGAGAGACAGAGAUGAUGAGAGACCAAGAGACAGAGAUGAUGAGAGACCAAGAGACAGAGAUGAUGAGAGACAGAGAGACAGAGAUGAUGAGAGACAGAGAGACAGAGAUGAUGAGAGACCAAGAGACAGAGAUGAUGAGAGACCAAGAGACAGAGAUGAUGAGAGACAGAGAGACAGAGAUGAUGAGAGACAGAGACAGAGAUGAUGAGAGACAGAGAGACAGAGCCAGAGCCAGAGGAAGUGCCGGCUCCUGAUGAAAGGAAACAUUUUCAUAGUCAAAGCUGUCACCCAUGACUGGGUGUCAGAGGCCCCCUUUCCCUUAAGAGCAGCCCUGCAGUCCAGUAGGGUUCAGCUCUUUCUAGACUCCUGGGAUGUCCCCAGACCAACGAGGACCCCCCACCCCAGCUUGUGCCAGACUGGCAGAGCCUCUGAAAGCCCAAGGUCACCUCCACACCCCAGGGUGUCAUUAGAAAGAUGGCGGCAGGGACUCAGGGACCCAAAUGGGAUUUGUCUAGCUCGGAUCUUCUCACAGUGAGAGCCAUCUGCAGGGGGGCAAGGCCUCCCUGUGCUCUUCUUGGAAGCCUCAGAAGCGGGUGAAAUGAGCCUCAGGACUCAGGGCAAUGCAAAGGGAUGAUGGCUGCUGUUCCUCCUAACAGUCCUUUGAAUGCAGGUUCUAGACUCAUUAAAUAAAAGGAACUCCCCAAAAGGCA